GAUGAAGAACGUAGCGAAAUGCGAUAAGUAGUGUGAAUUGCAGAAUUCAGUGAAUCAUCGAAUCUUUGAACGCACAUUGCGCCCCUUGGUAUUCCAUGGGGCAUGCCUGUUCGAGCGUCAUUUGUACCUUCAAGCUUUGCUUGGUGUUGGGUGUUUGUCCUGAGGGACUCGCCUUAAAGUAAUUGGCAGCCAGUGUUUGGUUUUGAAGCGCAGCACAAGUCGCGAUUCAAGGCUAUACACCAGCUUCCACAAGCCUUUUUCACUUCUGACCUCGGAUCAGGUAGGGAUACCCGCUGAACUUAAGCAUAUCAAUAAGCGGAGGA
RNAcentral lists this unclassified non-coding RNA (323 nucleotides) under soil metagenome. RNAcentral's name for it is "partial contains 5.8S ribosomal RNA, internal transcribed spacer 2, and large subunit ribosomal RNA". The stretch from base 1 to 120 matches the Rfam family "5.8S ribosomal RNA", at positions 35 to 154 of the family's 154-position model. The record is from RNAcentral.